RNAcentral lists this long non-coding RNA (1067 nucleotides) under Struthio camelus australis. RNAcentral's name for it is "lncRNA (ENSSCUG00000010222.1)". Lineage: Eukaryota; Metazoa; Chordata; Aves; Struthioniformes; Struthionidae. The record is from RNAcentral.
CCAAGUUUUACAUAUUCAAUUAAAAUAUCUAAGCUUUCAGGGUUGCUGCUUAAAUUUUUCAGUUUAAUAGUCAGGGGACUGCUAUCAGAGCGUCUAUUGCGUAAUGAAUUCACCCACUAGAGGCAAGAAAGAUUAGAAUAGGAAAAAACAAAGUUAGUGGGUUAGGACCACUAGCAUUGAGUAUGCCAUGUUUAAGAGACAUUAUAAGUAAUUCUCUUUCCUCUCCCUCAAGGAGCUCUGUGGAGGUGCUUCUCUGAAAGACACGGCACCUGCUGUCAUCACAGUGUAUUCCUGCCUUCAAAUAAGAUUGCUUUCCAGAAGGAAAAUCAAGCCAUGUGCAUUAAGCAGCUAAAUGCAUAGACAGAGCAAAGUGUGCUGUUUGGUUCCUUUUCCCCUGAGACUCAGGCUGCAACAACAUCAGCCAUUUUGCCCAAAGAAGAUGCCAGUGAAAGGACCCGCUUCGCAGCAGCUCCUGCAUUCAGGCCAAAAAGCCCGGUUGAAACCCAACCAGCCUUGGCACCUCGGGGGGCAACACUGGGGUAGUCCUGCUCCUGGCCAGGGCAUCAGUCAGGUCCUUCCUCCUGCCCACCCAGAGCCAGGACUGCCAUUCGCAUUGCUCCCUGCUGUCACCUGAGAUACUGGAAAAGUAACUCUGUGAGUUUGUAACAACAAUCCAGAGACAACGUGAAAAUUACUUUGUAUGGGAAUAUGUGGAAGAACGUCGAGGAGAUAGGUGAUGGAAGCUAGCCACACCGAUCUAUGGGAAAAGGAGCAUCAACAGGCAUGUUGACUCGCAGUCACGCAGCUGAGCCUGUGCCAGUGUGGUGCUACACCUGGGCUUUGAAUCGGAAGUAGCGAUGAGCUCAAGAUGCUUACUGCGCAUGUGUAUAGUACAUAAAAAAAACCUCAUAUAGUGCUCCCCUGCAGUGUUCCUCAAUGUGGACCGAUGCUCAGCGGUGCCAGGGACUCUCCCGCUCCAUUAUUGUCUUGAUCGGGAAAUCACUGGGGAACGCCUGCUCAGAUGCAGGGGUAAUAAACACUCAGUAUCGACCCUAGUGUGCCUUGUG